GGGUAUUGCCCUCUGUAACGGCGAGUGAAAGCGGCAACAGCUCAAAUUUGAAAUCUGGCCCCUUUCGGGGUCCGAGUUGUAAUUUAUAGAGAGUGUUUCGGGCGAGAUCACGGUCUAAGUUCAUUGGAACAUGGCGUCAUAGAGGGUGAGAAUCCCGUAUGUGACUGUGGAUCGACCCCAUGUGAAGCCUCUUCGAUGAGUCGAGUUGUUUGGGAAUGCAGCAUCAAAAUGGGUGGUAAAUUUCAUCUAAAGCUAAAUACUGGCUGGAGACCGAUAGCGCACAAGUAGAGUGAUCGAAAGAUGAAAAGCACUUUGGAAAGAGAGUCAAAAAGUACGUGAAAUUGUMGAAAGGGAAGCGCUUGCAACCAGACCUGUCCGUAGGUGAUCAGCCGCUGUUCUCAGUGGUGCACUCGCUCUGCGAUCAGGCCAGCAUCGGUUCGGGCGGUCGGAUAAAGGCCUUGGGAAUGUAGCUUCCUUCGGGGAGUCUUAUAGCCCUCGGUGCAAUGCGGCCAGCCGGGACCGAGGACCGCGCUUCGGCUAGGAUGCUGGCGUAAUGGUUGUAAGCGACCCGUCUUGAAACACGGACCAAGGAGUCUAACAUCUAUGCGAGUGUUUGGGUGUCAAACCCAUGCGCGGAAUGAAAGUGAACGGAGGUGAGAACCCUUAAGGGCGCAUCAUCGACCGAUCCAGAUGUCUUCGGAUGGAUUUGAGUAUGAGCAUAGCUGUUGGGACCCCAAAAGAUGGUGAACUAUGCCUGAAUAGGGGUGAAGCCAGAAGAAACUCUUGGUGGAGGCUCCCCAGCGGUUCUGACGUGCAAAUCCGAUCGUUCAAAUUUGGGUAUAGGGGGGCGAAAGAACUAAAUCC
This 864-nucleotide ribosomal RNA is filed under the name Hypogymnia vittata. Its description in RNAcentral is "partial large subunit ribosomal RNA". It matches the Rfam family "Eukaryotic large subunit ribosomal RNA", at positions 70 to 937 of the family's 3401-position model. Lineage: Eukaryota; Fungi; Ascomycota; Lecanoromycetes; Lecanorales; Parmeliaceae. The record is from RNAcentral.